This 391-nucleotide ribosomal RNA is filed under the name Ochrophyta sp. RNAcentral describes it as "partial small subunit ribosomal RNA". It matches the Rfam family "Eukaryotic small subunit ribosomal RNA", at positions 582 to 975 of the family's 1831-position model. The record is from RNAcentral.
AUUCCAGCUCCAAUAGCGUAUACUAAAGUUGUUGCAGUUAAAAAGCUCGUAGUUGAAUUUCUGUUCUUUUCUCCCUUUCCUCCCCUCCCUUUUUUUUCCCCUUUUCUCUGCGUCCAUCCUCGGGGAGAGCGUAUCUGGCAUUCAGUUGUCGGGUGCGGGAUCCUCGUCAUUUACUGUGAGCAAAAUAGAGUGUUCAAAGCAGGCUUAGGCCGUUGAAUACAUUAGCAUGGAAUAAUAAGAUAGGACCUUGGUCUAUUUUGUUGGUUUGCAUUCCAAGGUAAUGAUUAAUAGGGAUAGUUGGGGGUAUUCGUAUUCAAUUGUCAGAGGUGAAAUUCUUGGAUUUAUGGAAGACGAACUACUGCGAAAGCAUUUACCAAGGAUGUUUUCAUUA